This is a long non-coding RNA of Daphnia pulex (common water flea), 214 nucleotides long. RefSeq lists it as uncharacterized. The record is from RefSeq and is a predicted model, not a curated record. NCBI's taxonomy places the organism in Eukaryota, Metazoa, Arthropoda, Branchiopoda, Diplostraca, Daphniidae. The transcript is spliced from 2 exons.
AGGCGACGGAGUGCUACAUGACUACGCAUGCUGCCCCAUCCUCCGAGGCUCAUGCACCGAGGCUCCUAACUGCUACACCGAGGCUCCCGCCGAUUACCACACCGAAGCUUCAAAGUACUACUCUGCCCCGAUCUACACAACCAUAACUGAGGCGGCCAAUUAUUACGCUGUCCCGACUUGCUGCACAGAAGCUGCACUUUCGUACUACGUUGAA